CGCGGGAUGGAGCAGUCUGGUAGCUCGUCGGGCUCAUAACCCGGAGGUCGCUGGUUCAAAUCCAGCUCCCGCAA
This 74-nucleotide transfer RNA is filed under the name Keratinibaculum paraultunense. It matches the Rfam family "tRNA". From Rfam's summary of the family: Transfer RNA (tRNA) molecules are approximately 80 nucleotides in length. Their secondary structure includes four short double-helical elements and three loops (D, anti-codon, and T loops). Further hydrogen bonds mediate the characteristic L-shaped molecular structure. tRNAs have two regions of fundamental functional importance: the anti-codon, which is responsible for specific mRNA codon recognition, and the 3' end, to which the tRNAs corresponding amino acid is attached (by aminoacyl-tRNA synthetases). tRNAs cope with the degeneracy of the genetic code in two manners: having more than one tRNA (with a specific anti-codon) for a particular amino acid; and 'wobble' base-pairing, i.e. permitting non-standard base-pairing at the 3rd anti-codon position. The record is from Rfam by way of RNAcentral. Lineage: Bacteria; Bacillati; Bacillota; Tissierellia; Tissierellales; Tepidimicrobiaceae.